Bufo bufo (common toad) is the source of this 182-nucleotide long non-coding RNA. RefSeq lists it as uncharacterized. The record is from RefSeq and is a predicted model, not a curated record. The transcript is spliced from 2 exons. NCBI's taxonomy places the organism in Eukaryota, Metazoa, Chordata, Amphibia, Anura, Bufonidae.
UUGCACAGGUUUGACUACCGAAGGACUGCUGAGCCUGGAUGGAAGAACAAGCAAACGUGCUGAAGUGGAAAAUGCUGUAUGUUGGUGAUGACUUGGUUCUGUGAAACCCUAUUUAAUAAAACUUGGAUGACAAGCUUUGUAAAUGUCUGUAUUCCAUCUCCAAUAAAAAAAAUUACUGAAUA